GGGAGUCUAUAUUCAGUCGAUUUCGAUGCCUAGCUCAGUUCACACAGCUACCAAGUUAGCACAGCUAGGCAUCGGAAGUUAAAUAUUUUCGUUUUUUGUUUUCAUAAAAAAAAUGGAAUGAGAUUAAUAUACCAUCUAAAUUUUGUGUCUUUUUUGUAAAUUCUCUGUUGAUCGCCGAAGAAAGAUGUACGAAGAAGAAAUGACAUCAGAAGUGGAAGGAUGAAGGGAGUGUGGUCCAAAGGAUAGCCAAGACUGAAGGAGGACGUCAAACAACAGGCUUCGAAUUCCUCUUGAAGCCACAGUCCUCUUAAAGCUUGAAGACAUCCAUUAAGGACACUCUGAGAAGUAUUAUCCUGCCCGGAACUUCCAACAGACUCUCCGACGAUCAGUGCCACUGUCAUGUGCUUGUAUCGUAAUUGUGAAGUGUACUGUCCUUCCUGUUCAUCUUUAUCCUUCUCGUUGACUCAAGACGUACUGGUUCAAGCCUAAAAAAUGAAGUGACCUCUGCUUUCGGACAAAGCUGGAUAACCAAGAAGCGCUUCGAUUAAAGAAAUCCAUGCCGAGUCCUGGAGCUAGAGGAUUAGCUUCUGUGGAACCAUUAACUCCAUGUUCAAAUGUACGUCCCAGGAACCUUUUGGCAAAAUUUGUUUGGCAAAUUAUACAAAUGCAGUUUACACUUUAAACACUUCUAUAUAACUUGGCAUGUUUAAAAACACAAAACUAAAACUAAAUACGAUGACUAAAUACGUUUGAA
RNAcentral lists this small RNA (754 nucleotides) under Drosophila ananassae. Its description in RNAcentral is "GF27589". The record is from RNAcentral. Lineage: Eukaryota; Metazoa; Arthropoda; Insecta; Diptera; Drosophilidae.